GCCAGUGUGGCAUAAUGGUUUAAGUGUUGGAUUACAACUCUGGAGACCAGGGUUGGAUUCCCUGCUCAGCCA
Molecule: transfer RNA, 72 nt
Filed under: Phrynosoma platyrhinos (Desert horned lizard)
Lineage: Eukaryota; Metazoa; Chordata; Lepidosauria; Squamata; Phrynosomatidae
Description: tRNA-OTHER
Rfam family: tRNA
About the family: Transfer RNA (tRNA) molecules are approximately 80 nucleotides in length.
Source: RNAcentral